This is a long non-coding RNA of Gymnodraco acuticeps, 746 nucleotides long. RefSeq lists it as uncharacterized. The transcript has 8 exons. Lineage: Eukaryota; Metazoa; Chordata; Actinopteri; Perciformes; Bathydraconidae. The record is from RefSeq and is a predicted model, not a curated record.
CGCCCAGUCUCUCAGUCUGGUGAAGAACUUUGCUCUGCGAACGAGUCCUAGCUGACGCAUAUUGACAAUGGAAAUCACAUGACGGCGCUCGCUCCAUGGGCUCAAAACAGACAUGCCCACAUCCUGACCUACAACCAUGUCCAAAUGGCAGCUCUGGGAUGGAAGCUGCUGCCUCUGGGACUGCAGGUGGAGCCCCUAGAGGCUGCUCAGUGAGGGGCUCACAUCAUGCUGCUGACUGAAGGAGCCCGAGGAGCAGCAGGACCUGACUGGACUGGACUAAGCCUGGAUAUGUGAUGCAUCAGUCCACCUGUCGCCCCCCAUGGUCCAGCACUGAGCUGCUUUGACCAACACUCGUCUUCUGAGGAGCAGCAGGACUGGACUAAGCCUGGAUAUGUGAUGCAUCAGUCCACCUGCCGCCCCCCCAGUGGUCCAGCACUGAGGCUGCUAACAGGACUUAAACAUUAGUUUAAGUCCUGUUAGCAGAGGACGGCACUGAGCUGCUUUGACCAACACUCGUCUUCUCCGAGGAGCAGCAGGACCUGCCUCGACUAAGCCUGGAUAUGUGAUGCAUCAGUCCACCUGCCGCCCCCCAUGGUCCAGCACUGAGGCUUUGAACAGGACUUAAACAUUGGGUUUAAAUGUCCUAAAGGAAUUGCCUACCUUAUCUACAGGAGAUGAUUGUCCUGUAUAAACAACUUUGAAAUGUUUAUCAUGUACACAUAUUCAAAUAUAUGCUCUAGCAUCAA